RNAcentral lists this long non-coding RNA (11768 nucleotides) under Homo sapiens (human). Its description in RNAcentral is "non-protein coding lnc-CCDC74A-7:3". The record is from RNAcentral. Lineage: Eukaryota; Metazoa; Chordata; Mammalia; Primates; Hominidae.
CUGGUCUCGACCUCCUGAUCUCAUGAUCCACCCGCUUUGGCCUCCCAAAGUGCUGGGAUUACAGGCAUGAGCCACCGCAGCCAGCCAACAUAGAGAUAAUCUUAAAGACUCCAUAAAAAAGAAGAAAAGUGUUAAAGCUGAUAAACACAUUCAAAAUUGAGAAUUACAAAAUUAGCAUACAAAUAGUAUUCUUGUUUCUAUACACCAGUGACAAACUAUUAACUGAAAAACAAAUUAAUGAAGUAAUUCAUUUUAUAAUAGUAUCAUAACAAAUAUAAGUAAAUAAAAGACUAAGGAGUAAUUUUAAUGAAGGAUGUGAAAUAUUUGUAUACUGAAAAUUUAUAGCCUUGUUGAAAGAAAUUGAAAGUGACAUAAGUAGAAAAACAUCCCAUAUUUAUGGAUUUGAAAAAUUAAUAUUGUCAAAAUUUCAAUGCUAACAAAAGCAAUCUGCAGAUUAAAUGCAAUCACUAUCAAAAUCCAAUGCCAUUCUUCACAGAAAUAGAAAAAUUAGUCCUAAAAUCUGAGUGGAACCACAAAAGACGCUGAAAAACCAAAGCAAUCUUGAGCAAAAAGAACAAAGCCAGAGGCAUCAGACUACUUGAUUUCAAACAAUAUUAAAAAGUUAUAGUACUUAAAACAGCAUAGCACUGGCAUAAAAACAGACACCUAGACCAGUGUGAAGGAAUAUAGAACCUAUAAAUAAAUCCAUGUGUCUGUGGUCAAUUGAUUUUUGGUAAAAGGACAAAGAAUACACAAUGGGGAAAGAAAAUUCUCUUUAAUAAAUAAUGUAGAGAAAAACUGACUAUUCACAUACAGAAGAAUAAAAUUGGAUCAUUAUUUCACUCUUUAUACCAACAUCAAUUAGCAAUGGAUGAAAGACUUAAAUAUAAACCUGAAACUGUAAAACCACUACAAGCAGAGAUAGGAGAAAACCAUAUGACAAUGGCCUCAGCUAUGAUUUUCUACAGAUGACCCCAAAAGUACAGGCAACAAAAGCAAAAAUACACAAACGAGAUUCCAUAAAACUAAGAAGCUUCUCUGCACAGCAAAAGGAACAGUAAUAGAGUGAAGAGACAACCCACAAAUGGGAAGAGAAUGUUUUUAAACCAUACCUCAGGUAAGGGGUUCAUACCAAUAAUAUGUAAGGAACUCAACCCAGAAAUGAGAAAACAAGCUUACUAAAAAAUAAGUAAAGGACUUGAAUAGACAUUUUCUAAAAACAGACAUACAGAAGGCCAGAUUUUUAUUAAAAAUGUUGAUAAAAAACAUCAACAUUCCCAAUUAUUAGAGAAAUAGAAGUCAAAACCACGAAGAUAUUACCUCAUAGAUGUUACUGAGGUUAUUAUAAAAAGAUGUGGCCGGGCACGGUGGCUCACACCUGAAAUCCCAGCACUUUGGGAGUCCAAGGCAGGUGGAUUGCCUGAGGUCAGGAGUUCCAGACCAGCCUGGCCAACAUGGUGAAUCCCCGUCUCUACUAAAAAUACAAAAAAUUAGCUGGGCGUGGUGGCACGCACCUGUAAUUCCAGCUACUCGGGAGGGUGAGGCAGAAGAAUCGCUUGAACCUGGGAGGUAGAGGUUGCAGUGAGCCAAGAUCGUGCCACUGCACUCCAGCCUGGGUGACAGAGCAAGACUUCAUCUCAGUAAAUAAAUAAAUAAAAAAAUUAAAAAAUGAUGGAAUAUAACUGUUGAUUAGAAUGUGGAGAAAACCAUUGUAUACUGUUGGUCAGAAUUGAAAUUAUUACCACCAACUUGGAAAAUAGUAUGAAGCUUUCUCAAGAAUUUAUAAAUAUAUUCACAUUAUGAUUCAUCAGUGCAUCUUCUGGAUAUAUGUCUAAAGAACUUAAAAUCAGUAUGUCAAAGAGACAACUGCAAUUUCAUGUUCAUUGCAGAGUUAUUCAUAAUAGCUGUGAUUUAGAAACAACCUAAGUGUUUAUCAACUGAAGAAUGGAUAAAAAAUAUGUGAAAAAUUGAAACCCUUAUACACAGCUGACGAGACUUUAAAACAGUCUGGCAGUUCUUCAAAAGGAUAAAUACAGAAUUACCACAUGACUCAGUAAAUUAACUCCUGUGUAUACACCAAAAAGAAAUUAAAACAAAUGCCUACACAAAAAGUAGCAUACAAGUAUUUGUAGCAACAAGAAGUAGGAAAUAACAGCAAUGUCCAUGAAUUGCGGAGUGGAUUAAUAAAAUGUGGUCUGUCCAUAAAAUAUAAUAGUAUUUGGCAAUAAAAAAGGAAAAAGGUAUUAAUACAUGCUCCAAAAAGGAUGAACAUUGAAAACAGAAGUGAAAGCAGUGAGUCACAUGUAACUAUAUAUUAUUAUGAUUCCAUUUACAUGAGAUGUCCAGAACAGGCAAAUCCUUAGUUAGGAAGUAGAUGGAUGGUUGCCUAGGGCUGGGAGGGGUUUAAAGGAAGAGUGGGGAAAAUGGGGAAAGAUUGCUAAUGGGUGCAAGGUUUCUUUUAAGGAGCAUAAAAAUGUUCUAAAAUUACAUUGUGAUUGUUUAUCCACCUAGUUAAUACUCUAAAAAAUUAAAGUUUACACUUUAAAAGAGUGAAUUAAAUAAUAUAUAAAUUAUAUCUCAAUGAACCUGUGAAAAAUAAAAAAAUAUGUGAUAUGCUUACAUAGAUAUACAAAAACUUCUGUUUAUUGUAUUUUUUUAUUUCCAUAGGUUUUUGGGGAACAGGUGGUGUUUGAUUAUAUGAGUAAGUUCUUUAGAGGUGGUUAGUGAGAUUUUGGUGCACCCAACACCUGAGCAGAAUACGCUGUAUCCAGUUUGUAGUCUUUUAUUCCUCACCCGCUUCCCACCCUUUCCCCCAAGUCCCCAAAGCCCAUUGUAGUAUUUUAAUGCCUUUGCAUCCUCAUAGCUUAGCUCCCACUUGCGGGUGAGAGCAUACUGUGUUUGGUUUUCCAUUCUUAAGUUACUUAGAAUAGUAGUCUCUGAUGUCAUCUUGCUGUGAAUGCCAUUAUUUUUUUCCUUUUUAUGGCUGAAUAGUAUUCCAUGGUGGGUGGGUGGGGGUGUGUGUGUGUAUACUAUAUCUAUAAUAUAUAUCAUAAUAUCUUAAUCUCAUUGAUUGAUGGGCAUUUGGCUGGUUAAAUAUUUUUGCAGUUGUGAAUUGUGCUGCUGUAAACAUGUGUGUACAAGUAUCUUUUUCAUAUAAUGACUUCUUUUCCUCUGGUAGAUAACUCAGUAAUGGAAUUGCUGGAUUAAAUGGUAGUUCUACUCCUAGUUCUUUAAGAAAUUUCCACGCAGUUUACCGUAGUGGUUGUACUAGUUUACAUUUCCACCAGCGGUGUAAAAGUGUUAUUUUUUCACCAUAUCCCCACCCACAUUUAUUAUUUUUUGAUGUUUUGAUUAUGGCCAUUCUUGCCAGGAGUAAGGUGGCAUGGCAUUGUGGUUUUGAUUUGCAUUUCCCUGAUCAUUAGUGAUGAUGAGCAUUUUUUCAUGUUUGUUGGCCAUUUUUAUAUCUUCUUUUGAGAAUUGUCUAUUUAAGUCCUUAUCCCAUUAUUUGAAGGGAUUGGUUUUUUUUCUGCUGAGUUCUUUGUAGAUUCUGGAUAUUAGUCCUUUGUCAGAUGUAUAGAUUGUGAAGAUUUUCUCCCAUUCUGUGGGUUGUCUGUUUACUCUGCUAAUUGUUUCUUUUGCUGUGCAGAAACUUUUUGGUUUAAUUAAGUCUCACCUGUUUAUCUUCAUUUUGUUGUCACACUUGCUUUUGGCUUCUUGGUCAUGAAGUCUCUGCCUAAGCCAAUGUGUAGAAGGGGUUUUCCAAUGUUACCUUGUAGAAUUUUUAUGGUUUCAGGUCUCAGAUUUAAGUUGACUUUUGUAUAAGGUAAGAGAUGGGGAUCCAGUUUCAUUUCUUGGGAUGUAGCUUGCCAAUUAUCCAAGCACCAUAUGUUGAGUAGAUUGUCCUUUCCCGACUUUAUGUUUUUGUUUGCUUUGUCAAAGAUCAGUUGACUGUAAGUAUUUGGGUUUAUUUCUGGGUUCUCUAUUCUGUUUCAUUGGUCUAUGUGCCUAUUUUUAUACCAGUAUCAUGCUGUUUUGCUGACUAUGGCCUUGUAGUAUAGAUUGAAGCCAGGUAAUGUAAUGCCUCCAGAUUUGUUCUUUCCGCUUAGUCUUGCUUUGGCUAUGCGGGCUCUUUUUUGGUUCCAUAUGAAUUUUCAAAUUAUCUUUUUUAGUUCUGUGAAGGAUGAUGGUGAUACUUUGAUGGAAAUUGCUUUGAAUUUAUAAAUUGCUUUUGAUGUUAUGGUCAUUUUUGCAAUAUUGAUUUUACCCAUCCAUGAGCAUGAGAGGUGUUUCCAUUUACGUCAUCUGUGAUUUCUUUCAGCAGUGUUUUGUAGUUUUCCUUGUAGAGGUCUUUUACUUCCUUGUUAGGUAUAUUCCAAAGUAUUUUAUUUUAUUUUUUUGCAGCUAUUGUAAAAGGGGUUGAAUUCUUGAUCUGAUUCUCAGCUUGCACAUUAUUGGUGUAUAGCAGAUCUUUUGAUUUGGGUACAUUAAUUUUGUGUCCUGAAUUUUUGCUGAAAUUAUUUAUCAGUUUUAGGAGCUUUUUGGAGGAGUCUUUAGGGUUUUCUAGGUAUACAAUCCAUAUCAUCAGCAAACAGAGACAAUUUGACUUCCUCUUUACCGAUCUGGAUGCCCUUUAUUUCUUUCUCUCAUUCGAUUGCUCUGGCUGGGAUUGUCAGUGCUAUGUUGAAUAGAAGUGGUGAGAGUGGGCAUCCUUGUAUUUAUUGUUGCAGUUCUCAGAGGAAAUGCUUCUAACUUUUCCCCAUUUAGUAUUAUGUUGGCUGUGGGCUUGUCAUAGGUGGUUUUUAUUACCUUAAGGUAUGUCCCUUCUAUGCCUGUUUUGCUGAGGGUUUUAAUUAUAAACGGAUGCUGGAUUUUGUCAAAUGCCUUUUCUGUGUCUGUUGAGAUGCUUAUGUGACUUUGCUUUUAAUUCUGUUUAUGUGAUUAUCACAUUUAUUGACUUGCCUGUGUUAGACCGGAAGAGCUGGGGUGUUCUCAGGAGCCACCGUGUGCCGCGGCAGCUUCGGGAUAACUUGAGGCUGCAUCCUGGGGAAGAAACACCUCCUGUCCGUGGCGCUGAUGGCUGAGGACAGAGCUUCAGUGUGGCUUCUCUGCGACUGGCUUCUUCGGGGAGUUCUUCCUUCAUAGUUCAUCCAUAUGGCUCCAGAGGAAAAUUAUAUUAUUUUGUUAUGGAUGAAGAGUAUUACGUUGUGCAGAUAUACUGCAGUGUCUUCAUCUCUUGAUGUGUGAUUGGGUUCCACCAUGUUGCCGCAGAUGACAUGAUUUCAGUACCUGUGUCUGGCUGAAAAGUGUUUGUUUGUGAAUGGAUAUUGUGGUUUCUGGAUCUCAUCCUCUGUGGGUGGACAGCUUUCUCCACCUUGCUGGAAGUGACCUGCUGUCCAGAAGUUUGAUGGCUGAGGAGUAUACCAUCGUGCAUGCAUCUUUCAUUUCCUGCAUUUCUUCCUCCCUGGAUGGACAGAACAUAAAGAAGAAGUGAGACUUGCUGAAUGAGACUCUUGAACGCUUCCUCUGACAAGCUCCAAGGCACACUGGUUGUCUUGCAGUGCUUUGGACAGCUACUCGUUUGUUGGACAAUAAUUUCCCAACAUGGGGACAACCCAGAGCAUUUUCCACUUCCAUAUUCUGCUUCAGUUGCUCAUGGUUUUGAUCGAAGCUAGACAGUGACUGAACCAGGAGGCUCAGACCCCAGGCCAGCGUGGAGUCCUGUGGUUGAAGACAGGCUGGACCAUCAGAGGAAGAAAACAAGUAGCCCUUUUUUCUGGAUUUUCACCUUCUCUGUUUUCAGGAAACCUGAAGCCAAUUAUGUUAUGCAGGCAUGACUGAAAAGAGAUUAUUUUGAGUUGUUUUGGUGGCACCAAGAAAUGUGCCAAUGUGACAGCCAAAAAAGCAGAAAGACCAAGGCAUUGAGAGUGGGAGAGCCACUGAUGAUGCUGGGUCUGGUAGGCUUUUCGAGAUCUCUCCCAGCCCCAAAACAGCCAAGCAACUCUGUCCUGGGUUGUGAGUGGGCUCAGCCGCCCCUGUGCACACCCAUGCUUGGAUUCUGGCACACAUGGCACCCACAGGAGGCAGUUCCCCCUUCAGGAGACUGGUUGGCAGGACCCUGUCUCCACACGCAAAGACAGCAGGCAGAACCCACACGUCCUCUAGUUUUCCCAGUGUCACUCGCCCAUGGGGGUUCACGAUGAGACCCCACGGGUCCAACCUGCAGGCAGAGUUGCCACCCCAGCCUGAGGCAAAGUGGACCUUUUUCUGCCAGAGGGGUCUGCUUUCCCAUUGGCCAAAAUGGCCUCAAAUGACAGGGACAGAACAAGGCACAAGUGUACCCAUUAGAGUGUCUGAGCCCGCCUGGUGUCUGCUUCCACACAUCUCCUGGGAGGUCCCAGCAGGCACCCAGGCCUGGGCCACAGCUCACCCCACAUUCAGAGGUGGGUAGCACAGCUGCCCUAUGCAGGCCUCAGGGAGGAAAGGGAGAAAGAGAUGACAAAAGCAAGACACAAGAAAUGCAGCAAAAGCACACAAACACACACACUGACACUCAUCUGGGGCAGGCCAUCCUCUCACCCAUGACCAGCAGUGCAGGCAGCUGAGAGUUGGGCAGGAGGUGGUGCCACCAUCCCCUGAGUUAGGGCCUGGAUCCAAGGAAGAACAUAGAGUCCCUAGAGUCAAGCGCCACUGACCUCAAGACCUGCAGUUUGCAGGGAGGGGAUGCUGUGAGAAGAACUGUUCUAGGUCACAGCGAAAUAUGUCUGACUUCAAGAAAAUAUUUGAAACCAAAGUACAUUUAUUGAAGACUCUCAAUGAUAUAAAAAAGCACAGUUUAGAAAAUGUGAAAGCAAUCACUGAACAUAUUCAUAUAUUUUCAUCUAAAUUUAGUUACAGAGUUUUUCUAAAACUGGGAUCAGGCCAGGUAUGGUGGCUCAGGCCUGUAAUCCUAGCACUUUGGGAGCUUGAGGCAGGAGGAUCGCUUGAGGCCAAGAGUGGAGACCAGCCUGGGCAACAUGGUGAGACCCCUCAUCUCUACCAAAAAUACAGAACUUGGCCAGUCAUGGUAGCACACUCCUGUAGUCCCAGCUACACAGAAGGCUGAGGUGGGAGAAUUGCUUGAGCCUGGGAGGUUGAGGCUGCAGUUAGACAAGACUGCACCACUGCAUUCCAGCCUGGGUGACAGCCUGUCUCAAAAAAUAAUAACAGUAAUUCCCGAUUUUAAUAAUUAUUCUAGAGUUGUGUAAAAGAAUACCCUUAGGAAAUGCACACUUUGGGGUAAUUAUGUCUAUAGUUUACACUGAAAUCAUUAAAAGAGGUAUGUAAACAGACAAAGCAAAUGGGACAAAAUGGAGCAAAUUUCUACAAAUUUUAGAAAUUGGUGAGUCUUGGUUAAGAGAAGGAGGAGGAUUCUUGGUACUAUUCUUGUGACUUUUGAAAUUAUAUAAAAAUUUUAAGUUCCUAAAAACUGGCUGUAGAACUAUACGCUCAGAGUGAGCAUUUAUUUUGUAAAAUAGUGAUUAAGACCAAAUCUUUAAUCAGUUAAAAAUCUGAUCAAAUAAAAGUAGUAAUAUAUUACGGUAUUUUUGACAUCAAAUCAUUGUAAAGGGGCAAUAACUUACAAGUUUGUCUCCAAGCACAGUACAUUUUUAUGGAUUUUUAAAGAAUUCACGUUCCCGUAAUUCUUACCUUCCUCCACCUAAAGUGACACAGUUUACCAAAUAAUUUGGAGUAAUGGUUAGAUUGGGUUAAAUUCUCAAGGCUUCCUCUUUAAAAAUCAUACAUUUAAUUCGGGUAGGGAAUGACUUGGCUUCUUUGUUCCUGUGAAAGAAGUAUAUAAAAAUGCCCCCUUAGUAACUAUGCAGUCAGCUUACUAUCUCAGCAAAGUCAUUGUGAACUUCUUCCCUGUCUCAGGUUGGAAAUAGGAACCAAUUCAAGGUAGAUUAAAGACUUAGGGCCGGGCGCAGUGGCUCAUAUCUGUAAUCCCAACACUUUGGGAGGCCGAGGUGGGUGGAUCACGAGGUCAAGAGAUCAAUACCAUCCUGGCCAACAUGGCCCGUCUCUACUAAAAAUACAAAAAUUAGCUGUGCAUGGUGGUGGGUGCCUGUAGUCCCAGCUACUCGGGAGGCAGGAGAACCACUUGAACCCGGGCGGCGGAGGUUGCAGUGAGCUGAGAUUGCGCCACUGCACUCCAAUCUGGUGACAGAGCCAGACUCCGUCUCAAAAAAAGAAAAAAAGACUUAAAUGUCAGACCUGAAACUAUAAAACUACUAGAAAAACAUAGAGAAAACUCUUCAGAACAUCGGCUUAGGCAGAUAAUUUAUGGAUGAAAUCUCAAAAGCACAGGCACCAAAAGCAAAAAUAGUUGAGUGGGCUAUAACUUCUGCACAGCAAAAGAAUCAACACAGUGAAGAGACAGCCCCUGGAGUGGGAGAAAAUAUUUGCAAAUUACUCACCUGACAGGGAACUAAUGUGCAGAGUAUAGAAGGAACUCAGACUCCUCAAAAGUUAAAAAAUCAAUGCCAUUAAAAAUAGGCAAAGGACAGGAAUAGAGACAUACAAAUGGCUAAGAUGUAUAUGAGAAACUGCUCAACUUCAUUGAUCAGGGAAAUGCAAAUCAAAACCACAGUGGGAUAUUAUCUCACCUCAGUUAGUAUGGGUAUUAUUAAAAAGACAAAAAAUAACAGAUGCUGGUGAGAAUGAAGAGAAAAGGAAACUCUGCUACACUGUCAGUAGGAAUGCAAAUCAGUACAAGCAUGAUGGAAACCAGUAUAGAGAAUUCGAAAAAAAGAAAAAAUAGAACUACUCUAUGGUCCAGCAAUCUCACUGGGGGGGUAUUUAUCCAAAGGAAAGAGUUCAGUGUAACAAAGGGGAACUUGCAUGCUCGUGUUUAUCACAGCAUUAUUCACAAUAGCAAAGACACAGGAUCAAUCCAAGUAUUCAUCAACAGAUGAGUGGAUAAGAUGUGCUAAAUAGACACAGUAAAAUACUAUUUGGCAUAACAAAUAAGGAAAUCGUGUCAUUUUCAGAAACAUUUUCAGAGACAGAAGGACAAAUACUACGGGUUCUCACUCACGUGAGAGCUAAAAAAACUUGAUCCCAUGGAAACAGAGAAUACAAUGGCAGUACCAGAGGCCAGGAAGACUGGGUAUGUGGAAGGGAGAAUGAAGAGAAGUUGGUUAUUGGGUACAAACCUACAUUUAGAAGAAAUAGGCUGUAAUGUUUGACAGCAGGCUGUGGUGGCUAAGUAAUAUUAUUAUGUGUAAAUAUUCAAAGUAACCAGAAUACGCAUUUUAUGCAUGUAACAAGUAUUUGUAUGUACCUUACAAAGAGGUAAAAUAUUAUGUGUCAAUAAGAUGGAGAGGUUAUGCCCAAGCCUCCAGAGAGGGGCUCCUUGGAUCCGCACAGCACAUCCUGCAUACCUGCAUCCACUGCUGCGCUAUGCUCCUCGUAUCUGAGCCUUCAUGCUCUGGUCCCCGAGGCAGGUGGUGCUGACUCAGGUGGCCACACUGUGGACCUGGGUGUUGGUGGCCCAGAGGGUGGGUGCUAGAGGCUUCCUGCCCUUCUUGUUCCACUGGGACCAGACGGAGCCAGGCAGUGACAGGGUACCACCUUCUUGACCGGAUCCUGGAACACAGGAGUGUCACCUGGCCCCUCGUCAUCCCAACUUAGCACCCAAAGUACCCCCGGGCCGGGGCCAUGGCUGGGCUGGAACUCAGGAUGGUUAGGAUGCAGCUCAAGCCUUGUGGCAUCUCUGGGUUCUCUGUCCACUGAGGGUGCCCUGGGAUGCAAAGCUGGUGGAAGAGGUUGGCAUUUCCCCAGCCUAUCCUCACUCAUGCCAAGCACCCCAGACUGUCCUUCCUGGUCCAUCGCCCUGGUCACAUUCCCCAGGGCAGCUCAGGGCUUUGUUCAGGGAUUUCCUGUAGUCAGGUGCCUGAUAAGUGUUGAGACGUGCAAGGCCACGUGGGCAGAUGGGGAGGUGCUCUUUGGUGAGCACCCCCAGCAGGGCAGUCCCCCACCCAGGUGUCUGCCUGCUCCUGCUUGUGUUUGACUGUUAACAGCGCUUCAUGCCAGGGCCACCAGCUCCCAUCCCUCCUGUCAGGAAGGACACAGACAGCAAGUGCCUGGGUGGUAAGGCAUUUGCCAGGUAACACAGGUGGCAAGUGCCAGAGCUGGGAUUUGAACCCGGAUCAUGGCACUCUGUGUGGGGCAAUGGAAGGUUUGAGAACGCCCAUGUAGGAAGGAAGGGCAGCCUGGCCCCACUGAGCCCAGCUGCUCCCUGUGACCCUGGAGGAAACUAUUCAGCCCCCAGCUGGGGAGAGAGUCCAGGAGGCCAGGCUUCCCCUUGCUUCCUGGCUCAGGGGAUCACAGAGGGACAAGGAAAUUUAGUGUAUGUGUCUUCUUUUUGUUUCAUUCAAAGUUUAAUUUAGUAUCAAGCAAGAGGAGCUUUAGUAUCAAGCUCCUCUUUUUAGUAUCAAGCAAGGUAGCUUAACCCUUCAUAAGACUUCAGUUACAAAAUAGUACUUUUUUUUUUUUGCACUUGUGAUUGGCUUCCCCUCUACUUCUUUUGGUAAGAGUAGGUUGGUGUCCAGGCUCAGAAUCCAUUUUUCCUCCCACACCAAAGCACCUGUGGUUUGGGUGAAGCAGCCUGGAGCCUGGCUGCAUAAAGCUUUGCAGCAGGAGGGUCCCGGUAGGAGGGUCGAGGUGCUACUUGCCCUGGUCCAGCUCAGAGGCCAGCACCAGGGAGGCUCAGUGUCCUGUUCCCAGGAUCUGCACAUGGGGUUGCCUUUCUGCAUCUCCCCAUCAGAGUGGUAGGUGCUCCUCCAAGCCCCCUCAUGCCGGCCUGGACACAGCGGUCUGCACCUUGACCCUAUUGCAUGCCAGUGGAGCAGAGCCCCCCAGGCCAGAAGCCCCACAGCUGUUGGCCCUGGCUUGGACACUGGGCAGGGGGCACCAGGGCAGGAGCUGGCUGCAAUCCUGUGGCCCCAAAUGCCCCCUCGCUGAUGGCCUCAUGUUCUGUUCUGGGUGCGGAGCAAAGAGGAGCAGGUGUCGAAGGCACCUCAGGCAGGCGCUGGGCUUAAUGGGCGUCUUGUGCUCCAUGAUUUUGAGGCCAUUUGCAGCCAGCUCCGCCAGCCCGAGCUCCGAGCUGCAGCUGCUGCCAUGCACAACAGCACCGCCAGGAGUGUCCUGGGGGCUUUCUUCAGGGGAGGCUGUCAGCAUCCUCAAGUUCCAGCUGCUUAGCCCCAGUCCUCCUUCAAGAGGCUUUUUUUUUUCACCAGCGGCUUCUCAAUGGCCUGAAAGCUCAGCUGACUCCCACAAAGUUUGCCGGGAACACAGGGCUGUCAGUGACAUUCCUGGCGCCAAGACUUAAGCACGUGGGUUGCACGCAUCGGCCAGUGUCUGUGCCACGUACACUGACGCCCCCUGAGAUGUGCACACCGCACGCGCACGUCGCACGCGCGGCAGCGGCUUGGCUGGCUUGUAACGGCUUGCACGCGCACGCCGCCCCCGCAUAACCGUCAGACUGGCCUGUAACGGCUUGCAGGCGCACGCCGCACGCGCGUAACGGCUUGGCUGCCCUGUAACGGCUUGCACGUGCAUGCUGCACGCGCGUUAACGGCUUGGCUGGCAUGUAGCGGCUUGGCUUGGCUUUGCAUUCUUUGCUUGGCUUGGCGUUGGUCGCUUGGAUUGACGCUUCCUCCUUGGAUUGACGUUUCCUCCUUGGAUUGACGUUUCCUCUCUCGCGUUCCUUUGCUGGACUUGACCUUUUC